Molecule: ribosomal RNA, 301 nt
Filed under: uncultured bacterium
Lineage: Bacteria
Description: partial 16S ribosomal RNA
Rfam family: Bacterial small subunit ribosomal RNA
Source: RNAcentral
CAGCAGCCGCGGUAAUACAGAGGGUGCGAGCGUUAAUCGGAUUUACUGGGAGUAAAGCGUGCGUAGGCGGCUUUUUAAGUCGGAUGUGAAAUCCCUGAGCUUAACUUAGGAAUUGCAUUCGAUACUGGGAAGCUAGAGUAUGGGAGAGGAUGGUAGAAUUCCAGGUGUAGCGGUGAAAUGCGUAGAGAUCUGGAGGAAUACCGAUGGCGAAGGCAGCCAUCUGGCCUAAUACUGACGCUGAGGUACGAAAGCAUGGGGAGCAAACAGGAUUAGAUACCCCGGUAGUCCCUGUCUCUUAUAC